AAGCAUGUGAGUGCUUGUGUGAAGGAAGCCGACGGCAAAGUCCCGAGCCAACGAACAGAAACCGGAUACAAGGCCGGUUGACAGGAUGAGUCCGCGAAAAAGUGACGAAAUCCAACCGCGAAGUCAACAGGUAAAUCCAGUGGCCGCAUGGGAUGAAAGUUAUUGCC
Non-coding RNA from Sphaerochaeta globosa str. Buddy, 167 nucleotides. Lineage: Bacteria; Pseudomonadati; Spirochaetota; Spirochaetia; Spirochaetales; Sphaerochaetaceae. The record is from Rfam.